AGUGGCGCACGGGUGCGUAACGCGUAUGCAACCUACCUUUUACUGGGGGAUAGCCCGAAGAAAUUCGGAUUAAUACCGCAUACUCCUAUUUGAGGGCAUCUGAGGAUAGGGAAAGAUUUAUUGGUAAAAGAUGGGCAUGCGUGCCAUUAGCUAGUUGGCGGGGUAACGGCCCACCAAGGCGACGAUGGCUAGGAGUUCUGAGAGGAUGAUCCCCCACACUGGUACUGAGAUACGGACCAGACUCCUACGGGAGGCAGCAGUAGGGAAUAUUGGGCAAUGGACGAGAGUCUGACCCAGCCAUGCCGCGUGCAGGAUGAAGGCCUUCUGGGUUGUAAACUGCUUUUAUCUAGGAAGAAAAAACUCUUGCGAGAGGAACUGACGGUACUAGAGGAAUAAGCACCGG
This 403-nucleotide ribosomal RNA is filed under the name uncultured bacterium. RNAcentral describes it as "bacterial SSU rRNA". It matches the Rfam family "Bacterial small subunit ribosomal RNA", at positions 94 to 496 of the family's 1533-position model. The record is from RNAcentral.